RNAcentral lists this ribosomal RNA (275 nucleotides) under uncultured bacterium. RNAcentral describes it as "partial 16S ribosomal RNA". It matches the Rfam family "Bacterial small subunit ribosomal RNA", at positions 79 to 354 of the family's 1533-position model. The record is from RNAcentral.
CUUUCUCCGCCGGCGACCGGCGCACGGGUGAGUAACACGUAUGCAACCUGCCCCUGUCAGGGGGACAACCCGCCGAAAGCGGGCUAAACCCGCGUACAUGCCACCGGGGCAUCCCGGAGGCAGGAAAGGCUUCGGCCGGACAGGGAUGGGCAUGCGGCGCAUUAGGCAGUAGGCGGGGUAACGGCCCACCUAACCGACGAUGCGUAGGGGUUCUGAGAGGAAGGUCCCCCACACUGGUACUGAGACACGGACCAGACUCCUACGGAAGGCAGCAG